This 421-nucleotide ribosomal RNA is filed under the name uncultured bacterium. RNAcentral describes it as "bacterial SSU rRNA". It matches the Rfam family "Bacterial small subunit ribosomal RNA", at positions 29 to 454 of the family's 1533-position model. The record is from RNAcentral.
AUUAAACGCUGGCGGCAUGCCUUACACAUGCAAGUCGAACGGUAGCGCGGGGCAACCUGGCGACGAGUGGCGAACGGGUGAGUAAAGCAUCGGAACGUGCCCUGGAAUGGGGGAUAACGUAGCGAAAGUUACGCUAAUACCGCAUAUUCUGUGAGCAGGAAAGCAGGGGAUCGCAAGACCUUGCGUUCUGGGAGCGGCCGAUGUCGGAUUAGCUAGUUGGUGGGGUAAAAGCCUACCAAGGCGACGAUCCGUAGCGGGUCUGAGAGGAUGAUCCGCCACACUGGGACUGAGACACGGCCCAGACUCCUACGGGAGGCAGCAGUGGGGAAUUUUGGACAAUGGGCGAAAGCCUGAUCCAGCCACGCCGCGUGAGUGAUGAAGGCCUCGGUUGUAAAGGCUCUGUCGUAGGGGACGAAAGGGG